UGCGAUUAAGGGUUUUCACCCUUUUACUUUACUCUUUCUGCGAUUCACCUGCGACUCCGAUUCACCUGGGUAUGCAUUCACCGCGGAUAUCCAUUUAGUCUCCGUGAAGGUGUCCCAACAGAUCUUUCUCAUGGACUACGGCUUAACAUUUGUAGCAAUUGGAGAGUUCCUCCACCUGGAAGACAAAGAGAAUCCAGUCUUACGUUCUAGUUCCCAAUGAAGGAAACAUCCAUUUCAUAUGAGACUCUAAUAAAGUGGACUAAGGGUUUCAGUAUUGAUGAUAUGGUUGGGGAGAUGUGAUGGGAGAACUAACCAAUUCCUUGGAAAAAAUCGGCCUGGAUAUGGGGGCUGCUGCUCUAAUAUCAUAACAAGGACAUCAUGGACCUGAAGUUGUCUUCUGAUGGUGCAUACUCCUGCGUCGACGGGAUUCACAAAUCUAUUUCUACAAACUACAAAAUCCGUCCCUCUGAUACUCUCUCCACCAUUGCUGGCUCUGUUUACGGUGUAUGGUGUAUAUAAACUGCUUUUUGAUUGCUGACUAUUGUUAUUCAUUUUACAACAUGUGCUUCAAAUUUUCUGAAAUAUGCUUCUGAUUUCGGCUUGCUUGUCCCUAAUGGAAGUUAUGCCAUUACAGUAGGCCAUUGUGUGCAAUGUAGCUGUGGACCCCGAAACUUAAAGUAAUUACUAAGCAUCUUUUCUUUUUUCUGUUUGCAAUUCAUACCUUGCUCUUCUUGUAGAUAAAUUUAGAUACUUUUGUAGGAUCGUUUGGUUUGUGGCAAAAGCUUGAAA
This is a long non-coding RNA of Vicia villosa (hairy vetch), 789 nucleotides long. RefSeq lists it as uncharacterized. The transcript has 3 exons. The record is from RefSeq and is a predicted model, not a curated record. NCBI's taxonomy places the organism in Eukaryota, Viridiplantae, Streptophyta, Magnoliopsida, Fabales, Fabaceae.